AUGGUGGCGGCAUGGGAGAGAGAGAGAGGAGGACGAGAAGGAGUAGGAGAGGUGGCGGCGCGAAGAUCUGCGCCCAAUCCAGAAUCAUGGUGUGCGGCACGUGAUGCCGGUGACCUGCGCCCGACUCUGCUGGACCGAGAACUGCCGCCCCCACUGCUGCACCUCAAGUGCCGGGGAGAGAAGGCAGCGUCGGCCGCCGCGUGCGAAGAAGAGGAUGGAGCCGGCGGCGCGGCGGGAGGGAAGGAAGGGAUCGGGGGAGGGGAGAGCACGGGAGAGAAGGCACGGGAUAUUUUUCACCCCGGUCGAUCCAGGUUUUCAUCGCUGCUCUCGCUCCCAGAAACCCAUCUCCACCACGAGGAAGCAAAAAACCAGCUGAUUCCUGGACCCCCACAGUUAACAAGGCCCACACGUCAUUUACCUAUUGUACCAGUCAUGUAUGUACAAAACAAUCCACGGUUUACCAGGCGCAGCCAAAAAAAAACUGUAGCAGCUCGAUCGGGUGGACCACGACGUCGCGCGCGAGCAAUGCCGCUAGAAUGGCGGGUACUCUAG
Molecule: ribosomal RNA, 552 nt
Filed under: Triticum aestivum (bread wheat)
Lineage: Eukaryota; Viridiplantae; Streptophyta; Magnoliopsida; Poales; Poaceae
Description: partial small subunit ribosomal RNA
Source: RNAcentral